ACCCUCUAGAUUCCCUACCCAUCAGAUCUGAACAUUGGUCUGAGCGACUAUAAAAGGGAAAGGGAAACUGAAACAGACUUGGGUUCUUUUGUGACAUACAAGUUGGUUUCAAAGAAAC
RNAcentral lists this small nucleolar RNA (118 nucleotides) under Echinops telfairi (small Madagascar hedgehog). Its description in RNAcentral is "Small nucleolar RNA SNORA61 (ENSETEG00000026293.1)". The record is from RNAcentral. Lineage: Eukaryota; Metazoa; Chordata; Mammalia; Afrosoricida; Tenrecidae.